AUGCUGGCGGCGUGCCUAACACAUGCAAGUCGAGCGGCAGCGAGUUUUACACUGAAUUCUGGAAGCUUCUGGGUAAUAUAGAAGAUCUAUUCAAGAAUUUUGUGUAAAAUGUCGGCGAGCGGCGGACGGCUGAGUAACGCGUAGGAAUUUGCCCCAAAGUGAGGAAUAACUGCCCGAAAGGGUAGCUAAUGCCGCAUAUGGUCUUCGGAUUAAAGCCUUCGGGCGCUUUGGGAGAAGCCUGCGUUGGAUUAGGUAGUUGGUAGGGUAAUGGCCUACCAAGCCGACGAUCCAUAGCUGGUCUGAGAGGAUGAUCAGCCAGACUGGAACUGAGACACGGUCCAGACUCCUACGGGAGGCAGCAGUGAGGAAUCUUCCACAAUGGGCGAAAGCCUGAUGGAGCAACGCCGCGUGAAGGAUGAAGGCCUUCGGGUUGUAAACUUCUUUUAUGAGUGAAGAAUAUGACGGUAACUCAUGAAUAAGCACCGGCUAACUACGUGCCAGCAGCCGCGGUCAUACGUAGGGUGCAAGCAUUAUCCGGAGUGACUGGGCGUAAAGAGUUGCGUAGGCGGUUUAAUAAGUGAAUAGUGAAACCUGGUGGCUCAACCAUACAGACUAUUAUUCAAACUGUUAAACUCGAGAAUGGUAGAGGUAACUGGAAUUUCUAGUGUAGGAGUGAAAUCCGUAGAUAUUAGAAGGAACACCGAUGGCGUAGGCAGGUUACUGGGCCAUUUCUGACGCUAAGGCACGAAAGCGUGGGGAGCGAACCGGAUUAGAUACCCGGGUAGUCCACGCCGUAAACGAUGGAUACUAGCUGUUGGAGGUAUCGACCCCUUCAGUAGCGAAGCUAACGCGUUAAGUAUCCCGCCUGUGGAGUACGGCCGCAAGGCUAAAACAUAAAGGAAUUGACGGG
Molecule: ribosomal RNA, 910 nt
Filed under: uncultured bacterium
Lineage: Bacteria
Description: bacterial SSU rRNA
Rfam family: Bacterial small subunit ribosomal RNA
Source: RNAcentral